This 433-nucleotide ribosomal RNA is filed under the name uncultured bacterium. RNAcentral describes it as "partial 16S ribosomal RNA". It matches the Rfam family "Bacterial small subunit ribosomal RNA", at positions 29 to 507 of the family's 1533-position model. The record is from RNAcentral.
AACGAACGCUGGCGGCAUGCCUAACACAUGCAAGUCGAACGAGACCUUCGGGUCUAGUGGCGCACGGGUGCGUAACGCGUGGGAACCUGCCCUUAGGUUCGGAAUAACUCCCCGAAAGGGGUGCUAAUACCGGAUAAUGUCUUCGGACCAAAGAUUUAUCGCCUUUGGAUGGGCCCGCGUUGGAUUAGCUAGUUGGUAGGGUAAAAGCCUACCAAGGCGACGAUCCAUAGCUGGUCAGAGAGAAUGAUCAGCCACACUGGGACUGAGACACGGCCCAGACUCCUACGGGAGGCAGCAGUGGGGAAUAUUGGACAAUGGGCGAAAGCAUGAACCAGCAAUGCCGCGUGAGUGAUGAAGGCCUUAGGGUUGUAAAGCUCUUUUACCCGGGAUGAUAAUGACAGUACCGGGAGAAUAAGCUACGGCUAACUCCGUG